This 468-nucleotide ribosomal RNA is filed under the name uncultured bacterium. RNAcentral describes it as "partial 16S ribosomal RNA". It matches the Rfam family "Bacterial small subunit ribosomal RNA", at positions 28 to 507 of the family's 1533-position model. The record is from RNAcentral.
GACGAACGCUGGCGGCGUGCUUAACACAUGCAAGUCGAACGGAAAGGCCCUGCUUUUGUGGGGUGCUCGAGUGGCGAACGGGUGAGUAACACGUGAGUAACCUGCCCUUGACUUUGGGAUAACUUCAGGAAACUGGGGCUAAUACCGGAUAGGAGCUCCUGCUGCAUGGUGGGGGUUGGAAAGUUUCGGCGGUUGGGGAUGGACUCGCGGCUUAUCAGCUUGUUGGUGGGGUAGUGGCUUACCAAGGCUUUGACGGGUAGCCGGCCUGAGAGGGUGACCGGCCACAUUGGGACUGAGAUACGGCCCAGACGCCUACGGGAGGCAGCAGUGGGGAAUAUUGCACAAUGGGCGGAAGCCUGAUGCAGCAACGCCGCGUGCGGGAUGACGGCCUUCGGGUUGUAAACCGCUUUCGCUUGUGACGAAGCGUGAGUGACGGUAAUGGGUAAAGAAGCACCGGCUAACUACGUG